RNAcentral lists this unclassified non-coding RNA (239 nucleotides) under Amphichorda felina. RNAcentral's name for it is "Beauveria felina partial internal transcribed spacer region". The stretch from base 1 to 46 matches the Rfam family "Eukaryotic small subunit ribosomal RNA", at positions 1786 to 1831 of the family's 1831-position model. The record is from RNAcentral. Lineage: Eukaryota; Fungi; Ascomycota; Sordariomycetes; Hypocreales; Bionectriaceae.
AAGUCGUAACAAGGUCUCCGUUGGUGAACCAGCGGAGGGAUCAUUACCGAGUUUCUAACUCCAUACCUUUGUGAACAUACCUAUCGUUGCUUCGGCGGGUCCGUCCCGGAGCUGGCAGUGCACGGCCAGCCCCGGAACCAGACGCCCGCCGAGGACCCCAAACUCUUGUUUUUAUAGUGGAUCUUCUGAGUCUUAUACAAAAUAAAUUAAAACUUUCAGCAACGGAUCUCUUGGUUCUG